GCUUCGCGACGCGUUACGUUAUGUUUAUUUGUAUGUCGCGUCGCUAUACUACGCGCCGCGCGAAAUAAGUAACUUAAAAAUACCGUUAAUAUAAACUGACGGAAUAAUUGUUAGCAUUAAAAAGUCCUAUUAAUCUACGACUACUGUUUACAUUUGUGGUACAGGCACCAAAUGCCGAAAUGUAAGAUAAAGAUUAUGUAACAUAAACAUUAGAAAUUGGCUACGUAUUUAAUAAAUACGUGAAUCACUUCUUAAAAAAUGGCUGUGAUCGAUAGAGGAUGGUCGUGGGUCGUAAGUGCCGCUUGUUUUGUCAAUAUGUUGUGUGUGAUAGGUCUGUAUAGGGCAUCGGGGGUGAUAUAUUCAGCAAUUAUCGACACCUUCGGUGUGACGAGGGAAGAAGCUACUUGGCCUUUCUCAUUGGCUGGAACAAUUGGAUUGCUUGUGUCUGUUUGUAAUGGUAUAUUGUGCCAACUCUUCACCAUUAGAACAAUUGCAAUUUCGGCAACACUCGUCAGUUCAAUUGGCCUAGCAUUAUGUUUCACAGCUCACGAGGUUUUACCGCUCACCAUCUACUUAGGUUUCAUUUAUGGUAAGUUAAGCAUUAAUUCUAUCAUUUUAUAUAGAAUAAAAAUAUAUAUAAUUUGGAAUAUUACAGGGUUCGGUAUAGGAAUCAUCAAUGUGUCCUGCUUAAUCAUUACUUGCCAAUACUUUAAAAAGUACAAAACUAUCGCUAUCGGAGUAUUAUACGCUGGUACGGCAACGGGUUCCUUUAUUCUUCCGCCAUUAAUAGAAUAUUUAUUAAAAAUAUAUGGACUUCGAGGUACAUUUCUUAUACUUUCUGGUAUCUGCUUGCAAGGUAUGGUUGCUGCUGCUCUGUACAGACCUCAAGAAUUAGAUGAUGCCAAGCCAAAUAAAUGUGAAGAAAAGUUGAAAUUUGCUUCGAAACCAGCUCAAAUCAUUUCUAAAUGGGUAAUAAUCUUUCGUUUUCGGAUAUUUUACCUUAUUUGGAUAACUUAUGCGGUUUAUCACUUCACAUAUUUCAUCUUUCCUACUGUUAUCGUCGAUUAUGCAUCGGACUUGAAUAUCAAAACCAACAAAGGAGUAUUUCUUCUUUCUGGUUACUGUAUAGGUGAUUUAUGUGGUCGCCUGUCAUGUGGAUGGGCUACUGACGUUCUCAGGAUAAAGAAAAAGAGUUGGAUAUUUUACCGGUUGUUUAAUGCCUCAAUGGCCCGUAAUCUUCGCUGAUUAUCUUGGUUUGACUCACUUGCCAUUUGCAAUAGGAACCGUUUUAACUUUAACUGGUUUUCUCCCAUUUUGUUUCCCAUAUAUAAUAGGAUAUUACAGGGAUAUAAAAGGUAGUUACAGUUCACUUUACUUCACUUGUGCAGGGAUCAAUUUAUUAGCUGUUUUAUUAUGGAGUUUGGAGCAUCUGUUUGUAG
This 1439-nucleotide unclassified non-coding RNA is filed under the name Centruroides sculpturatus (bark scorpion). Its description in RNAcentral is "monocarboxylate transporter 12-B-like, transcript variant X1". Lineage: Eukaryota; Metazoa; Arthropoda; Arachnida; Scorpiones; Buthidae. The record is from RNAcentral.